This 308-nucleotide unclassified non-coding RNA is filed under the name Hevea brasiliensis (rubber tree). The record is from RNAcentral. Lineage: Eukaryota; Viridiplantae; Streptophyta; Magnoliopsida; Malpighiales; Euphorbiaceae.
UCAUGACUCUGGUUAUGGAGAAGAAUUCUCUAAGCAAGUUGAUCCGCUAGGAAGAACCUUGAGAGAGAAUCUAGCAAAAUACUUGCAGCAUUCCAAAGAAAAAUCUUUAUCCAAGUAGAUUAUUUUUGUUGCUUUAAUGAGAUUGCAUGUAAAAUUUCAUUUGUUUGUGAGAGCAAUGACAAUCCAUGAACAUCUGCAGAUAUCAGUACUGCUUUUAUUUUGAUCUUCCUCUUAUGGGGGAAGGCUACCGGAGUUGUGUGUCAUACUGUGUUGAUAAGACUAUGCAUGAAAUGGACUGCGUUUAUUAU